This 154-nucleotide small RNA is filed under the name Mytilus galloprovincialis (Mediterranean mussel). Lineage: Eukaryota; Metazoa; Mollusca; Bivalvia; Mytilida; Mytilidae. The record is from RNAcentral.
UACGUCCUUGUUGAGACUACUAUAUAUAUAUAUAUAUAUAUAUAUAUAUGUGUUAUAGUAGUCUCAUCUACUAAUCAUGUCAAUGAACAGUUUUAUUCAGUGCCGGCUAAAUAGCAAAUUUGCUAUUUGGCCGGUGCCGGUCAAAUAGCAAAUU